AAAGAGCCCCCACAACAAGGGACAGUCCUGACUAAGGUGGAAGAGGCAGAAAUUCCUUCUGGAGAGAAAAAGAAGCCACAAUCAGGAGCAAUGGACUUUUUCAGCUGGCCAGAUCUAUGUGAGAGCAGAUGUAUUGAGACCAACCUCUGAAAACUUCUCAUCACAGGUGGACACAUCCUCUCAGGUUAUUACCAUGAACCUCUUCAUGUACUCACCUUAACGUGUAACAGGGGCACCAGUGUUCUUCGAGUUCACAGUCAGCAUAUAUUAGAAGCAUUUACAUCAAGAUACAGCCAGGAA
Molecule: long non-coding RNA, 300 nt
Organism: Equus quagga
Lineage: Eukaryota; Metazoa; Chordata; Mammalia; Perissodactyla; Equidae
Exons: 3
Source: RefSeq, a predicted model, not a curated record